Molecule: ribosomal RNA, 261 nt
Filed under: uncultured bacterium
Lineage: Bacteria
Description: partial 16S ribosomal RNA
Rfam family: Bacterial small subunit ribosomal RNA
Source: RNAcentral
GUCCACACAGUAAACGAUGGAUACUCGCUGCCGGCGAUAUAAUGUCGGUGGCUUAGCGAAAGCGUUAAGUAUCCCACCUGGGGAGUACGCCGGCAACGGUGAAACUCAAAGGAAUUGACGGGGGCCCGCACAAGCGGAGGAACAUGUGGUUUAAUUCGAUGAUACGCGAGGAACCUUACCCAGGCUCGAACGGCAAGCUGAAUGUUACCAGAGAUGGUUUCAGUCUUCGGACAGUUUGUCGAGGUGCUGCAUGGUUGUCGU